UGGGGAAUAUUGGACAAUGGGGGCAACCCUGAUCCAGCCAUGCCGCGUGAGUGAUGAAGGCCUUCGGGUUGUAAAGCUCUUUUGGCGGGGACGAUGAUGACGGUACCCGCAGAAUAAGCCCCGGCUAACUUCGUGCCAGCAGCCGCGGUAAGACGAAGGGGGCUAGCGUUGUUCGGAAUUACUGGGCGUAAAGCGAGUGUAGGCGGUUGCCGUAGUCAGGUGUGAAAGCCUUGAGCUCAACUCAAGAAAUGCACUUGAUACUGGGUGACUAGAGGACCGGAGAGGAUAGUGGAAUUCCCAGUGUAGUGGUGAAAUACGUAGAGAUUGGGAAGAACACCAGUGGCGAAGGCGGCUAUCUGGACGGUUACUGACGCUAAGACUCGAAAGCGUGGGGAGCAAACAGGAUUAGAUACCCUGGUAGUCCACGCCGUAAACGAUGGGUGCUAGACGUUGGCGAGCUUGCUCGUCAGUGUCGCAGCUAACGCGUUAAGCACCCCGCCUGGGGAGUACGGCCGCAAGGUUGAAACUUAAAGGAAUUGACGGGGGUCAUAGCUGUUUCCU
RNAcentral lists this ribosomal RNA (561 nucleotides) under uncultured bacterium. RNAcentral's name for it is "partial 16S ribosomal RNA". It matches the Rfam family "Bacterial small subunit ribosomal RNA", at positions 355 to 938 of the family's 1533-position model. The record is from RNAcentral.